RNAcentral lists this ribosomal RNA (227 nucleotides) under uncultured bacterium. RNAcentral describes it as "partial 16S ribosomal RNA". It matches the Rfam family "Bacterial small subunit ribosomal RNA", at positions 109 to 334 of the family's 1533-position model. The record is from RNAcentral.
AGUAACGCGUGAGGAACCUGCCUCAAAGAGGGGGACAACAGUUGGAAACGACUGCUAAUACCGCAUAAGCCCACGGCUCGGCAUCGAGCAGAGGGAAAAGGAGCAAUCCGCUUUGAGAUGGCCUCGCGUCCGAUUAGCUAGUUGGUGAGGUAAUGGCCCACCAAGGCGACGAUCGGUAGCCGGACUGAGAGGUUGAACGGCCGCAUUGGGACUGAGACACGGCCCAG